Long non-coding RNA from Scophthalmus maximus (turbot), 1725 nucleotides. RefSeq lists it as uncharacterized. NCBI's taxonomy places the organism in Eukaryota, Metazoa, Chordata, Actinopteri, Pleuronectiformes, Scophthalmidae. The record is from RefSeq and is a predicted model, not a curated record. The transcript has 3 exons.
GAAGAAACAAUUGGGCUGCAUGAGCCAGUGGGGCUGGUUGGUGCAGGGUCAAGGUGAGAGCCAAAACCAGAGCGCCAGACUGGACCACCCGUCUUCUAUUUUCCCAGGAAUUGAGAACAGUCAUCAUCCCCGAGCAGGUGCAGUCUGUUUGCCACGACUGCUGCUCCCCCAAUGCUCGGUGCAAACUGGUGCAUGUACACAGACUGCUGCAUCCAGCCCACUCUCCCACUGCUGCAGUGUUGUAUCUUUCUGAAUGAAGAUCAAUGGGGAGGCACUGCCCAGAAUGACAAUGACGAUCAACGGGGUCUCACAACUCACCACUAGAGGGAGAUGACUUAUGCGCAAACCUCCACUUGCCGCAACAGGCCUGGGGAGGGCGGCCAAUAACGUUUAAUGGCUCUCGUGUUAAGCAGCCUGCAUGUUGUGAUCUACAUGAGAGGCAGGGUCAGUCUGACACGUUUCCUCUAGUGGCUGUGGCUUCAGCUGCCUGGGAGAGCCGCUGUUUUAUGUGCCCCCUCAGGGAACAGCAGAGUGUUACAUCAGUGGGCCCACUGCUGGGCUCUGUGCAGUGGGGUGCAGUGAUGCAGAUGGAGACGGGGAGUAUAGAGCUGACACAGGACAUCACUUCAUGUCAGAGAUUUGUUGCUUUUCUUGUAACUGCUUUACAGGAACUCCCCGUCGAAUAGGUCCCAGGUGGAUACAGGCGUUAUGGCAGUUAUUGCUGCUGGGCCAGACGGUGCGCUCGUGGGGGACCGAGUGAAAUGUGAAGGGAGAAAGACUGUUCCAUUUCUGUGCUCCAUCCUUCGGACAUUUCCAUCCACUACAGGGCCUUACAAAUGAUGCCACCAGGAAACUGACUGGACAUGGCUCCAUUCUACUCCAUCUCCACAAUUAACAGUGGAUGAGGUGUGUUCAAUAUAAAGGAAGCAAACUGAAACAAAACAUCAUGUAAAUUCAGUUUUUAAUCAACAUCUGAAAACAAAUUGGACAAAUGAAAGACUGUUUCUGCUUUUAUAAACUACAUGUGGUUUUAGGUUUUUAAAUCAUUUAAGAAAUCACUUUUUUUUCCAGAGAAGAAAAAAAGAAAAUCCAAUGACAGUGACACUGAAAAAAAGCAGAUUUCCAGAAAGUAAGGAGUAACAUCUCAAAAGUGUUAUCACGGACACAACCUCUCUUCGGCGCCAUCUUAAGCAAAGUAUCAAAUGAAAGCAUAGUCUCAAACCCAGUAUGAACAUGUGGUCCUCAUAGAAACAAGGGCAGAAGAUGAGGGAGAUGUCAGAGAAGCAGAUUUUAGGAGGAUCCUGAUCGUUUCAAAUAUCCUGACAACUACCCCUAAGGUGAAAACACUCCAAAGGCUAACAUAAAAACAGUAAAAUGUCAAAUUAAUUUGUUUGAAUUCAAUUAGGGGUAGAAUAGGAAUUCUUUGUCUUCAGCCGUUCGUUAGGUUUAUUUUUAAUUCUCCAUUGUGGUCCAGCCAUUGCAGAUCCAUUUGUCGUUUUUUUUUGACUCGCGAGAAGUUCACAGAACAGCUUUUGUGUUGUGAUUUUGUUUCACUCUGUAGUACAACAUGAGUCGUGGGUAUUAGUCACAUGUUUAUUUGGUCUUGUCAAAUAGGUGAGAUGUCGCACAAAAAACAAAAAAAAAACCAAUGGAUUCCAAAUCUGCCGGAGUAUAAGAAUGUAUAUUUGAGAUGCAAGGCUGAAGCAGGAAAUAGUAACAUAUAAA